GACCGAGCAGCGAAGUGGUAUCACGUCCGCUCAACUUUUAUGAGGAAAGGUUCCGCCAGAAGGCACCUGUUCGAUUCGGGUCUCGGUCA
Molecule: non-coding RNA, 89 nt
Organism: Mycena latifolia
Lineage: Eukaryota; Fungi; Basidiomycota; Agaricomycetes; Agaricales; Mycenaceae
Source: the annotation of a GenBank genome assembly